GGGGUUGUGGCUCAGUGGUAGAGCGCUCGCCUAACAUGGACGGAGCCCUGGGUUCGAUUCUCAGCAACACAG
Ictidomys tridecemlineatus (thirteen-lined ground squirrel) is the source of this 72-nucleotide non-coding RNA. The record is from Rfam. NCBI's taxonomy places the organism in Eukaryota, Metazoa, Chordata, Mammalia, Rodentia, Sciuridae.